CAAUAGCGUAUAUUAAAGUUGUUGCAGUUAAAAAGCUCGUAGUUGGAUUUGUGGCGUACGACGGGCUCCGGGCACUUGUUGUCUGAGUAGCUUGUCGUUGCCAUCCUUGGGCGGAACCUGUGUGGCAUUAGGUUGUCGUGCAGGGGAUGCCCAUCUUUUACUGUGAAAAAAUUAGAGUGUUCAAAGCAGGCUUAUGCCGUUGAAUAUAUUAGCAUGGAAUAAUAAGAUAGGACUUUGUCGCUAUUUUGUUGGUUUGCGCGAUAAGGUAAUGAUUAAUAGGGACAGUUGGGGGUAUUCGUAUUCCAUUGUCAGAGGUGAAAUUCUUGGAUUUUUGGAAGACGAACUACUGCGAAAGCAUUUACCAAGGAUGUUUUCAUUAA
This 380-nucleotide ribosomal RNA is filed under the name uncultured eukaryote. RNAcentral's name for it is "partial 18S ribosomal RNA". It matches the Rfam family "Eukaryotic small subunit ribosomal RNA", at positions 592 to 976 of the family's 1831-position model. The record is from RNAcentral.